RNAcentral lists this ribosomal RNA (468 nucleotides) under uncultured bacterium. Its description in RNAcentral is "partial 16S ribosomal RNA". It matches the Rfam family "Bacterial small subunit ribosomal RNA", at positions 28 to 507 of the family's 1533-position model. The record is from RNAcentral.
GACGAACGCUGGCGGCGUGCUUAACACAUGCAAGUCGAACGGAAAGGCCCUGCUUUUGUGGGGUGCUCGAGUGGCGAACGGGUGAGUAACACGUGAGUAACCUGCCCUUGACUUUGGGAUAACUUCAGGAAACUGGGGCUAAUACCGGAUAGGAGAUCCUGCAGCAUGGUGGGGGAUGGAAAGUUUCGGCGGUUUGGGAUGGACUCGAGGCUUAUCAGCUUGUUGGUGUGGUAGGGGCUUACCAAGGCUUUGACGGGUAGCCGGCCUGGGAGGGUGACCGGCCACAAUGCGACUGAGAGACGGACCAGACUGCUACGGGAGGCAGUAGUGGGGAAUAUUGCACAAUGGGCGGAAGCCUGAUGCAGCAACGCCGCGUGCGGGAUGACGGCCUUCGGGUGGUGAACCGCUGUCGCCUGUGAUGAAGCGUGAGUGACGGUAAUGGGUAAAGAAGCACCGGCUAACUACGUG